RNAcentral lists this ribosomal RNA (453 nucleotides) under uncultured bacterium. RNAcentral describes it as "partial 16S ribosomal RNA". It matches the Rfam family "Bacterial small subunit ribosomal RNA", at positions 29 to 523 of the family's 1533-position model. The record is from RNAcentral.
AGCGAACGCUGGCGGCAGGCUUAACACAUGCAAGUCGAGCGGGCCCUUCGGGGUCAGCGGCGGACGGGUGAGUAACGCGUGGGAACGUGCCCUCUGGUCUGGAAUAACCUGGGAAACUAGGGCUAAUACCGGAUACGCCCUUUUGGGGAAAGGCUUGCUGCCGGAGGAUCGGCCCGCGUCUGAUUAGCUAGUUGGUGGGGUAACGGCCUACCAAGGCGACGAUCAGUAGCUGGUCUGAGAGGAUGAUCAGCCACACUGGGACUGAGACACGGCCCAGACUCCUACGGGAGGCAGCAGUGGGGAAUAUUGGACAAUGGGGGCAACCCUGAUCCAGCCAUGCCGCGUGAGUGAUGAAGGUCUUCGGAUCGUAAACCUCUUUCAGUAGGGACGAAGCGAAAGUGACGGUACCUAAAGAAGAAGCACCGGCUAACUACGUGCCAGCAGCCGCGGUAA